AACCAUGAUUCCCUCAGUAACGGCGAGUGAAGCGGGAAAAGCUCAAAUUUGAAAUCUGUCAACAUUUCUUUUGUUGUCCGAGUUGUAAUUUCAAGAAGCUGCUUUGAGUGUAGACGAUCGGUCUAAGUUCCUUGGAACAGGACGUCAGAGAGGGUGAGAACCCCGUCUUUGGUCGAUUGGAUAUGCCAUAUAAAGCGCUUUCGAAGAGUCGAGUUGUUUGGGAAUGCAGCUCUAAAUGGGUGGUAAAUUUCAUCUAAAGCUAAAUAUUGGCGAGAGACCGAUAGCGAACAAGUAGAGUGAUCGAAAGAUGAAAAGAACUUUGAAAAGAGAGUUAAAUAGUACGUGAAAUUGCUGAAAGGGAAGCAUUGGAAAUCAGUCUUACCUGGGUGAGAUCAGUAGUCUCUUCGCGAGACUAUGCACUCUGAACCUGUGGUAGGUCAGCAUCAGUUUUCGGGGGCGGAAAAAGAAUAAGGGAAGGUGGCUUUCCGGGUUCUGCCUGGGGAGUGUUUAUAGCCCUUGUUGUAAUACGUCCACUGGGGACUGAGGACUGCGGCUUCGUGCCAAGGAUGCUGACAUAAUGGUUUUCAAUGGCCC
RNAcentral lists this ribosomal RNA (594 nucleotides) under Schizosaccharomyces pombe (fission yeast). RNAcentral's name for it is "eukaryotic LSU rRNA". It matches the Rfam family "Eukaryotic large subunit ribosomal RNA", at positions 67 to 650 of the family's 3401-position model. Lineage: Eukaryota; Fungi; Ascomycota; Schizosaccharomycetes; Schizosaccharomycetales; Schizosaccharomycetaceae. The record is from RNAcentral.